AGCAAACUCCCAGCUGCCCCUUCUUACUGGGCCAUGACUUAACUCUGGAAUGUGUUUUGACUCACUGACUGUAAUAGUGACUAAAAGGAACAUGUGGGAGUCAUCAAAAAUCUGCAGGUGGACCUGACUUUAAGAAAGAGAAACACUUAAUUGGGUACUUACUAAAUGUUUGUCAAAUGGAUUUGAAUAUUUUGUGAAUUUUAUAUUCACAUAAAGGAUUCAGAAGAAAGCGCAACUGAGAAAUGUCCAAAUAUGGUGAAGACACUUCUUCUAGAGUGAAAGACAUAAAGAAAAUAGGCUAACUCCUCUGGGGAGAGGAGGAAAAACAUAAUUUAUAUCUCUAUGUAUAAUGAACUAAAACUUUAUUGCCAAAACUUUAAAAAUGUUUGUUUAGAUGGAACUCAGCAUCUAAACUUUUCUAAAAACCCAUGAUACGUGAGAGAAACAAAAUCAGUCCUAAAAUUACGGUCUGUAAGCAAGGAGACUUUUUUUUCUAGAAUACUAUGAAACAAUUUUUUUAAUGGAUCAUCUGUUCUCAUGAUAUUUCUAUUACUCCUUCCAGAAUGGGUUUACAUAUUAAAUAACAAAGCAGAAGCUACCAUUUCCAGGGAAGAGAAUGCAUCAAAUUAUGUAUGAUUUUAUCAAUCCUGAUUAACUGCACAGCCACAAAAUCAACACCAUCCUUGUCACUCCUAUAGGCGCUUGAUGCCUGAGUUCUACAUUUCCUGUUUUAUUCCUGUGCACUCAGCACAUCUAUCCACUUUAGUGAAUUGAUUU
RNAcentral lists this non-coding RNA (777 nucleotides) under Pan troglodytes (chimpanzee). Lineage: Eukaryota; Metazoa; Chordata; Mammalia; Primates; Hominidae. The record is from RNAcentral.